Molecule: ribosomal RNA, 406 nt
Filed under: uncultured bacterium
Lineage: Bacteria
Description: partial 16S ribosomal RNA
Rfam family: Bacterial small subunit ribosomal RNA
Source: RNAcentral
AUUGAACGCUGGCGGCAGGCCUAACCCAUGCAAGUCGAACGAGUGGCGGACGGGUGAGUAAUGUCUGGGAAACUGCCUGAUGGAGGGGGAUAACUACUGGAAACGGUAGCUAAUACCGCAUACUAUCAGAUGUGCCCAGAUGGGAUUAGCGAGUAGGUGGGGUAACGGCUCACCAAGGCGACGAUCCAUAGCUGGUCUGAGAGGAUGAGCAGCCACACUGGAACUGAGACACGGUCCAGACUCCUACGGGAGGCAGCAGUGGGGAAUAUUGCACAAUGGGCGCAAGCCUGAUGCAGCCAUGCCGCGUUUAUGAAGAAGGCCUUCGGGUUGUAAAGUACUUUCAGCGGGGAGGCGUUACCCGCAGAAGAAGCACCGGCUAACUCCGUGCCAGCAGCCGCGGUAAUUC